GCCAUUUUAGGAUCUAUUACGCGCUUUGCGCUUCUUCCUUUCUCUUCCCCCUGCUCUAAAUUUUCUAUUUUUGUUCUUUCCGAUCUCUCUCUCUCGGACAGACUACUGCCACCGAAUUACGCAUAGCACUGUCAGAUCUGGGCUUUGCUUUUUCUUUUUUGGCUUUAAAUUUGAUCAAUCGGAUCCAGUGCAUAAAAGGGGUCUUUGAAUUGAACUGUGUGAUUCACACUGC
This 232-nucleotide unclassified non-coding RNA is filed under the name Hevea brasiliensis (rubber tree). Lineage: Eukaryota; Viridiplantae; Streptophyta; Magnoliopsida; Malpighiales; Euphorbiaceae. The record is from RNAcentral.